CAGCAGCCACGGUAAUACGGAGGGUGCAAGCGUUAAUCGUAAUUACUGGGCGUAAAGCGCACGCAGGCGGUCUGACAAGUCAGAUGUGAAAUCCCCGGGCUUAACCUGGGAACUGCAUUUGAAACUGUCAGGCUGGAGUCUUGUAGAGGGGGGUGGAAUUCCAGGUGUAGCGGUGAAAUGCGUAGAGAUCUGGAGGAAUACCGGUGGCGAAGGCGGCCCCCUGGACAAAGACUGACGCUCAGGUGCGAAAGCGUGGGGAGCAAACAGGAUUAGAUACCCCUGUAGUCCCUGUCUCUUAUAC
Molecule: ribosomal RNA, 301 nt
Filed under: uncultured bacterium
Lineage: Bacteria
Description: partial 16S ribosomal RNA
Rfam family: Bacterial small subunit ribosomal RNA
Source: RNAcentral